GGAGCGGAGCGGAGCGGAGCGGGACGGCCCGCGGCACCGGGCACGGCUCGGGGACGAGCACGGCACCGGGCACGGCUCGGUACCACCCCGGGGACAGCUUUGCCACGACGGGACGAGCGGCUCCGUGGCAAUCCCUGAACUCCAAGUUAAUCCUGCUGCGUGUUAGCGGGAUUCAACAGCCCAAGGCUUCAAGCAGCCUCCCUCCCUGCCUUCCUUGGAAAUGCCAUGACUCACCGGAGGCUGCAGAGGAUGAAUACCUCCGGAGUGACUGCUCCAGCACUGCCCACGGCAAAGGCAACCGCAGGUGAGAGCCUGAAAGCGUGUGGCAGGGCUCAGGUGGAGCUGCAGGGAAAAAAAGCUGCUUUGCCAGGAAAAAAAGCUGCUCGCCAGUGGAAAAGGCUCAGUGCAUUGAAAAUCUGGGGGCAAACAGGGCUGCUGACCAGCUCGCCGGUGUCACCAUCAGCCCCAGGACUUGGAGGAAGGCAGCGAGGCUCCUUGGGUCCAACGGGAUCAGCAGAGCCACAGAUAACCCACUCAAGAUGUGGAUAUUUGGGAAGCAUCUUGCCUUUGGUGACCACGCUCACGGCAGAGCAAGCGCUUGCGUGACCUGCCACGCCGAGCGACGGAAACCUGGUUUUCUCCUUGCAGAAGUUAGGGCCUGUCCAUGCCGAAAAUAAUUAAGUUGAUGUGCGAUUUGAAGGAGAAGAAGAAUUCCUGGUUGUUUCCUGGGUGGGUACUUCCAUUACAAGCCCCAAAAGUAUGCAGGGCCUUUUGUUUAACCAAAACCAUGUGUUCUGUGCUCUAGAUACCACUGACUUCAGCUGAAGUCAUUUGGGUCCUUAGAGAACAAUUCAUUUUUCAGUUAGGUCAGAAUAAAUGCUAGUCCUCAGCCUCACUGUA
Phalacrocorax carbo (great cormorant) is the source of this 900-nucleotide non-coding RNA. NCBI's taxonomy places the organism in Eukaryota, Metazoa, Chordata, Aves, Suliformes, Phalacrocoracidae. The record is from RefSeq and is a predicted model, not a curated record.